UACAGAGGUCCCAAGCGUUGUCCGGAAUUAUUGGGCGUAAAGAGCUCGUAGGCGGUCUGUCGCGUCGGCUGUGAAAACUCGGGGCUCAACUCCGAGCUUGCAGUCGAUACGGGCAGGCUAGAGUUCGGCAGGGGAGACUGGAAUUCCUGGUGUAGCGGUGAAAUGCGCAGAUAUCAGGAAGAACACCCGUGGCUAAGGCGGCUCUCUAGUACGGUACUGACGCUGAGACGCGAAAGCGUGGGGAGCGAACAGG
Molecule: ribosomal RNA, 253 nt
Filed under: uncultured bacterium
Lineage: Bacteria
Description: partial 16S ribosomal RNA
Rfam family: Bacterial small subunit ribosomal RNA
Source: RNAcentral